Molecule: ribosomal RNA, 500 nt
Filed under: uncultured bacterium
Lineage: Bacteria
Description: partial 16S ribosomal RNA
Rfam family: Bacterial small subunit ribosomal RNA
Source: RNAcentral
GACGAACGCUGGCGGCGUGCUUAACACAUGCAAGUCGAACGGGUCUGCCCUGUUUUUUGCGGGGUGGGUCAGUGGCGAACGGGUGAGUAACACGUGAGUAACCUGCCCCUCACUUCUGGAUAACCGCUUGAAAGGGUGGCUAAUACGGGGUGUUCUGGCUGUGCCGCAUGGUGUGGCUGGGAAAGAUUCACUUUUGUGGUGUUUUGGUGGGGGAUGGGCUCGCGGCCUAUCAGCUUGUUGGUGGGGUGAUGGCCUGCCAAGGCUUUGACGGGUAGCCGGCCUGAGAGGGUGGGCGGUCACACUGGGACUGAGAUACGGCCCAGACUCCUGCGGGAGGCAGCAGUGGGGGGUAUUGCACAAUGGGCGGAAGCCUGAUGCAGCGACGUCGCGUGAGGGAUGGAGGCCUGCGGGUUGUGAACCUCUUUCGCCGGUGAGGAAGGUCCUGCUCUUUGUGGUGGGGUUGACGGUAGCCGGGUUAUGAAGCGCCGGCUAACUACGUG